AUGCUUCCUCCCAUGGGAUCAGCUUUGUUAUGAGCCAGGCGAUGUGGGGCAUGCCCCCUGACGAGGGUCUCAUUCUGGGCUCAUAGAGUGCAUUGUUCAGGGAAGUGCACUAGAGCAGUGCUACUCAAAGUGGUGGCCCAUGGAAAGCUUCCAUUAAAUAAAUAAACAGUUAUAGCCAAUGGACACAGAUAUUGUAUUAGUCCUUGACACAUUGAAAAAAUAUUAUUGGUCCCUCAGAUCAGAUGGCAUGAGAUGCUCUGACCCAGAACUCUCUAGCAAGGACAUUGGAGGUUACAUACACAACAAAGCCAUAAUGGCAUAUAACAUUUAGUUUGACCCUGUCUCUGCUAUUGUCAGUAGUGAUGGAGUAGUUCAGAUCUGGGCAGCCGGCAUGGACCAACCCUAAAGCUAUGGGCAGGCUCUGAAACUAGUGUUUUGUUCUUCUAGCAGUAAAAAUAUAUUGAAAAAAUAUUGGACAAAGCAUUUUAAAACUAGAAGAGAUGAAAUGCACAGGUCUGCAUAGCUCAUAUAAUGUCUGUGCUAUAAGAAUAUACUAUUUUCUGAUACGUUCUCUUCUUCAUCUGCUGUGAUGUAUUUACUUAGUGAAAUAGCAUAGAGUUGAUAGUGUUGUGGAGUGCAAGGAAGACAGACUAAUGAACAAUUUCUAUUGGAUCACAUAGCAUCUGCUAAUACUUGGGAUUCCUAUAAGAAACUCAGUAGGGUGGACUUUUGUGUGAUCCAUCAAUACAUUGCCUAUGUUUAUGCAGGUGUGAAUACUAAGGACCAAGGUGUGAUGUUCUAUAAACAGAAAAGCAAUGAACUAUCUGGUUUAAUUUAUUGCAGAUCUACCCUAAACACUGUGCACUGAUUUACCAGCAAGAUCAAACUUAUAUUCUUCCUGUCCAAUCCAAAACAAAAAAAUAGAGGGAGAGGAGAGAAAUCUCACUGGCUCUAGUGGAAACUAUUUUUAUUGCAUUGUUAUUGUUAUUGUUGAACUAUUUUACAUUGCAUUCUAAGCAUAGGCAGGUGGGCCAGUUAGGAUUCCAGUUAGGCUAGAAAAUAAUGAUAUCAGCUUCUCCUCUCAGAACAAGGUGUUUCAGAUAACAAUGGUCCUGACUCUCUGAAGUGCCUGUAAUUUGCUAAAGCAAACAGGAUAUGAAGCUGCAUGCUAAGAAUUUACAGAAUGCCUCGAUGCAGAUUUUUGUGCAUUGAGCAUUAGGAGAUCCUGCAUAUAUUCUGCUUGUUUAGUAAAUCAAACGUAUUAAAGAAAUAAUAGGGAUUUUAAAAAUAAAAGGCAGAUAAAACAAGAUGCAGUGUACCCACCUUUCUUUUGUAAAACCAGAAUAAAGCCAUGUUUAAUUUGCACUUCAAAUGUGAACAAAUUUUAACUGUCUUGACUUCAGAAAUCACUGUAUAUAGAGUCACAGAGUUAUAGAGCUGAUUGGAACCCAAAAAACUAUGCAUUCCUUGCCAGUGCAGGAACCUGCUGUUCAAGCAUCUCUCACAGGGAACCAUCCAACCUCUAAUUAAAUCUCUCUAGCAAAGGAGAAUCUCCUUCCUUGUAAUCUGAAUCUUUCAGUAAAGAUCUUACCCCCAUAACAGCAAACAAACAAACAAACAAAACAACAAAAAUAACCAAUCAACCAAAAACCAAAGCAAAACCACAAACUUAUUCCUUCUUUCAUUUGGCAGCCCUUCACAUAUUUGGCCAUCUUAUGUACCUCUCAAUCUUCUCCAGGCUAAGCAGAUUUCACUUCCUCAAUAGUUCCUCAUUAGAGUUGAUUUCUAAACACUCUACCAUUUUGACUGACAUCUUCAAGACAAACAAAUACUAGGAUGAGAAGAAAAAUC
Molecule: long non-coding RNA, 1851 nt
Filed under: Anolis carolinensis (green anole)
Lineage: Eukaryota; Metazoa; Chordata; Lepidosauria; Squamata; Anolidae
Description: lncRNA (ENSACAG00000041612.1)
Source: RNAcentral